UACAGGGGGUGCAAGCGUUAUUCGGAAUUAUUGGGCGUAAAGAGCGCGUAGGCGGUUUACUAAGUUUGGUGUGAAAGCCCUGGGCUCAAUCCAGGAAGCGCAUUGAAUACUGGUAGACUUGAGUAUUGGAGAGGCAGGCGGAAUUCCCGGUGUAGAGGUGAAAUGCGCAGAUAUCGGGAAGAACACCCGUGGCGAAGGCGGUUCUCUGGGACGGUACUGACGCUGAGACGCGAAAGCGUGGGGAGCGAACAGG
Molecule: ribosomal RNA, 253 nt
Filed under: uncultured bacterium
Lineage: Bacteria
Description: partial 16S ribosomal RNA
Rfam family: Bacterial small subunit ribosomal RNA
Source: RNAcentral